UACUGUAACCUCCGCAGGCCCUGUACGUGCUGUGCAAACAGGCUUUCUAGAUUAAAUUGCUCAUUCUUAAUCUACCACCUAAUGCUGAUGGAUUAAAUGGGAGAAGUUUCAUGAGGAGGAGAAGGCAAAUGUUCCAGACAGAAGAGGCAGCAUGGAAGAAUGUCAGGAAACAAAUGUUGUGACGUCAGAUGGUGGAGUCUGGUUCACAUCCCCGCCCCAAUCUGUAGGACAAGACUUUGUUUCAGUUACUGUGGAGCAAAAGGGAUGAGAAAUGUUUUAAGAGAUUCUGUGAUGCAGUUUUAGUGCUCAUUUGGGUGUAUAGAGACAAUUUCAUGGUUCAAAGGAUUACAAGCUCAUCUUGGUCUGCAGUCUCUAAGACGGAAAAUCUAAGUCAAGAAAAAUCCAAGAUAAUUUUAGACUUCUUUUCUGAGGCAGCUUUGUGAGUGGGUUGAAAAUCCAACUUUCUAGUUUAAUGA
Molecule: long non-coding RNA, 476 nt
Organism: Gopherus flavomarginatus (Mexican gopher tortoise)
Lineage: Eukaryota; Metazoa; Chordata; Testudines; Testudinidae
Exons: 3
Source: RefSeq, a predicted model, not a curated record